This 537-nucleotide small RNA is filed under the name Pan troglodytes (chimpanzee). Its description in RNAcentral is "retained intron". Lineage: Eukaryota; Metazoa; Chordata; Mammalia; Primates; Hominidae. The record is from RNAcentral.
GUAUGCACAAUAACGCUUUGGUUCCAGCUGUCACACACAGACCUGGAACUUCAUCAGAGAAGGGAGCAGUUAGUAGAGCGCACUCGGAGAGAGGCUCAGCUUGCUGCCCUGCAGUAUGAGGAGGAGAAAAUAAGGACCAAGCAGAUCCAGAGAGAUGCUGUCCUGGACUUUGUCAAACAAAAAGCAUCACAAAGUCCACAAAAACAGCACCCGCUCCUAGAUGGCGUAGAUGGUGAGUGCCCCUUCCCAUCCAGAAGGUCUCAGCACACUGAUGAUAGUGCCUUGUGCACGUCGCUGUCAGGGUUGAAUCAAGUGGGCUGUGCUGCUACCCUGCCUCAUUCUUCUGCCUUCACGCCUCUUAAGAGUGAUGACAGACCUAAUGCUCUAUUAAGUUCACCUGCAACAGAAACAGUUCAUCAUUCCCCUGCAUAUUCUUUUCCUGCUGCUAUCCAGAGAAAUCAGCCUCAGCGCCCUGAAAGCUUCCUUUUCCGAGCAGGUGUCAGGGCAGAAACCAACAAAGGUCAUGCUUCACCCCUU